CCGUCCUUCUUUCCAACACCUUCCGGGUCAUAGGCGCCGAGGUGCCCUCUGGGUAACCAUCUCAUUUCCUCCCCUCCCCCUCCUUCUGCCCUCGACCAACCAGCCUCCCGUCAGGGAGGGACAUGCGCAGUGAGAACCUCCCAUCUCUUCUAACAGAACCCCCCUCCCCCCCAAACCAGAGAGACCCCAGCAGCAGCAGCAGCUGAUGAUGAAGAGAGAGGCAGAGGCUAAGGGGGGGCACCUUUUAUUUCUAUUUUUAAAGGGACAGAACACUCAUUUUACCCCACUUCAACCUUGAAUUGCGAAGGGGGGAGGCGAUUGAGUUCCUUCCCCCACCCUCCACCCCUGAGCUCAGAGAGGGGAAUUGAGCCUGAGAGAAGGAGUUUCUUCUUCUUCUUCUAACCCCCCCUUACCACUCCUGCCCCCCUCCUUCUCUCUCCUCAACCCCCUCCACCCCCUCUCUCUUUGGCCGUGAGAGGAGGAGAGAAAGAGACCAAAAGCCUCUUAGCAACACAGCCCCUUCUCUGCUGCUGCUGCUGCUGCUGCUAAAGCUGCUGCUAAAGCUGCUGCUGCUGCUGCUGCUAAAGCUGCUGCUGCUGCUAAAGCUGCUGCUGCUAUUGCUGCUCCUGCUGCUGCUGUUGCUUGGCCCUGGCUGGAGACAUCUCACUACACCCAGGAGCAGCCACUUCCCCCAGCUCUCCUCCUCUCCUGCUUCUCCUCCUCCUCCUUCUCCUCCUCCUCCUUCUCCUCUCCUCCUCCUCCUCCUCCUCCUCCUCUCCUCCUCUUCCACUCCCCCCCUUUAUUACCCUUUGUGUCAUCCUCCACAGCUCCAGGGAAGGGACUCAAAAGUGGGGGGCAGGAAAGACUUUUUGAAAAAUAAAGAAUCAUAUUGGAGAAUGAAGAUUAGAAAUGAACCAUGAAAAACAUAAAAACAGCUUGAAAGAUUUUUUAUCAUCCCAGUUUUGAAGUCUGAAGAUAAUGUGCUUGGGAACUCACAGAGAAUGUUACUUCUUGGGUAUAUGAAGCAGAUGUGGAAACUUUUAUUGUUUAUAAACAAAAACUCUCAAAUUUAGCCAGCCAAGAUACCAGUUUUGUGAACCUAUUCACUGAUGUUUCAAAAUGACACGGGAUAGAUAUUUCAUCCUCAAGUUUAUUUUAUCUAAUACUAUUAAAUGAUCUACAAAAUGUAUUGAGGGUAUCCUUGAUCAAAAUUUGGAACCAGAAGUUGUUCAAAAUAGUUUUUACAUUUCACCAUAUCAUCACAUUCUAAGCAAAAUUUCAGGUUAUAGAAUUUGUUUGUUUCUGUUGUUCAUUUGAAACUAAUAUUGUAUUUGUUUGAGCAAAAUGGAUUAAAAGUUCUUCUCCAUAACUUUGUCACCCUUGAGUAUGCUGAACAUAUAUAGAAUUCCUUCAUAGUUGCAGUAACAAAAAUAAUUUAGAAGAUAUAUGUUACAAAAAUAUGUUUUCUUAAUUGAGGUCAUAUAGAAGAAUUCCCUAUAUCCAGGUCCUCUGUUAGAUUCUGUUUAUAUAUCAAGGGUUCUCAACUUUUUCUGUGUCAUGAACCUCAUUUAACAGUCCAGUGAAGUUUAUGGACCCCUUUUCUGAAUAAUGUUUUGUUGGAAAUGCUAAAUAUGAGUUAAAGGUUACUGAAAAUAACAAUGUAAUUUUUUAUCAUGAAAGUUCAUGGACCUUUCCUCCCCCAAUUUAUCUUAUUAGAUAUGAUAUUAUGUCCAUUCUGUCAACCCCAGAACAUUAUAUAUCAAUAAUAAUGCAGAAAAUUUUAGUCUAGCAAAAUGCAUGAGAAAAACUACAUAGAUGAAAAAUAGUGGCACCCGAGGAGAAUGGCAAGUGCAUUGUGGUCUUAUGUGGGCUACAGAUUAUUACCAGUUUUUACUCGAGCAAUGAAAUAAAAUUUAUCAUUCAGAAAGCAUUGCUAGUUAAACAAAAAUGAAAGACAAUUGUUGGUUCGCCCAUAUUUGGUGUGUAUUUGUAUUUGUAUAGAUAUAACUGUACAUAUACACACACACAUGCUUCCAGUUAAAAUAGCUUCCUAAAACAUGUAGAGGAGCCCAGCUGUCUGACAUAUACUUCAGUCAAAUAUAGCCAAAAAUGAUGAGCACUGUUUAAGAUAGCAGCCAGAAAUCCAUCAGUCCUCAGAGAAAGGGAGAAAAAAAAUCAGCCUGAGUUGUAAUUAACAGCUACAUGCUUAUAGGUACUCUUAAGUAGAACAAGCCAGUUAACUUCAAACUAAUUCAAAAUAUUAGAACCAGAACCAUCUUGGAUCCCUCUGAAGCAGGAACAAUAUCUCUAAGGAAUAUCAAUGCAAAAAGAUUAAAUGAAAUGUUAGCAAAGAGGCUGUAGAAACAUUUUUAAAAUGUUACUUUAUGAUCAGGUUGGAUUUAUAGGUAGGAUACAAGGUUGGUUCAAUAUUAAUGUAAAAACUAUGCCUGUAACAUAUCAUAUUAAUAACAAAACAAUAAAAAUCCCAUUAUAUCAAUGGAAACAUAAGAGGCUUUGAACAAAAUUCCACAUCCUUUCGUGUUUUUUGAAUAAAAUUUUACUGAUACCUUUUGUUUUGUAUGCCACUAAUAUUUUCCACUGUACCUCUCUUCACUUUCCCAGGAAACCAUCUCUUAUAAUCGUUAUAUAUAUAAAUGCCUAGAUAGAUAGAUAGAUAGAUGGAUGU
Molecule: long non-coding RNA, 2686 nt
Organism: Sarcophilus harrisii (Tasmanian devil)
Lineage: Eukaryota; Metazoa; Chordata; Mammalia; Dasyuromorphia; Dasyuridae
Exons: 5
Source: RefSeq, a predicted model, not a curated record